AGCCUGAUGCAGCCAUGCCGCGUGUAUGAAGAAGGCCUUCGGGUUGUAAAGUACUUUCAGUUGUGAGGAAGGGGGUAACGUUAAUAGCGUUAUCUCUUGACGUUAGCAACAGAAGAAGCACCGGCUAACUCCGUGCCAGCAGCCGCGGUAAUACGGAGGGUGCGAGCGUUAAUCGGAAUUACUGGGCGUAAAGCGCAUGCAGGUGGUUCAUUAAGUCAGAUGUGAAAGCCCGGGGCUCAACCUCGGAACUGCAUUUGAAACUGGUGAACUAGAGUGCUGUAGAGGGGGGUAGAAUUUCAGGUGUAGCGGUGAAAUGCGUAGAGAUCUGAAGGAAUACCAGUGGCGAAGGCGGCCCCCUGGACAGACACUGACACUCAGAUGCGAAAGCGUGGGGAGCAAACAGGAUUAGAUACCCUGGUAGUCCACGCCGUAAACGAUGUCUACUUGGAGGUUGUGGCCUUGAGCCGUGGCUUUCGGAGCUAACGCGUUAAGUAGACCGCCUGGGGAGUACGGUCGCAAGAUUAAAACUCAAAUGAAUUGACGGGGGCCCGCACAAGCGGUGGAGCAUGUGGUUUAAUUCGAUGCAACGCGAAGAACCUUACCUACUCUUGACAUCCAGAGAAGCCAGCGGAGACGCAGGUGUGCCUUCGGGAGCUCUGAGACAGGUGCUGCAUGGCUGUCGUCAGCUCGUGUUGUGAAAUGUUGGGUUAAGUCCCGCAACGAGCGCAACCCUUAUCCUUGUUUGCCAGCGAGUAAUGUCGGGAACUCCAGGGAGACUGCCGGUGAUAAACCGGAGGAAAGGUGGGGACGACGUCAAGUCAUCAUGGCCCUUACGAGUAGGGCUACACACGUGCUACAAUGGCGCAUACAGAGGGCAGCAAGCUAGCGAUAGUGAGCGAA
Molecule: ribosomal RNA, 900 nt
Filed under: Vibrio splendidus
Lineage: Bacteria; Pseudomonadati; Pseudomonadota; Gammaproteobacteria; Vibrionales; Vibrionaceae
Description: bacterial SSU rRNA
Rfam family: Bacterial small subunit ribosomal RNA
Source: RNAcentral